Molecule: ribosomal RNA, 398 nt
Filed under: uncultured bacterium
Lineage: Bacteria
Description: partial 16S ribosomal RNA
Rfam family: Bacterial small subunit ribosomal RNA
Source: RNAcentral
AUACGUAGGUUGCGAGCGUUGUCCGGAAUUACUGGGCGUAAAGAGCUCGUAGGUGGUUUGUCGCGUCGUCUGUGAAAUUCCGGGGCUUAACUCCGGGCGUGCAGGCGAUACGGGCAUAACUUGAGUACUGUAGGGGAGACUGGAAUUCCUGGUGUAGCGGUGAAAUGCGCAGAUAUCAGGAGGAACACCGGUGGCGAAGGCGGGUCUCUGGGCAGUAACUGACGCGGAGGAGCGAAAGCAUGGGUAGCGAACAGGAUUAGAUACCCUGGUAUUCCAUGCCGUAAACGGUGGGCGCUAGGUGUAGGGGUCUUCCACGACUUCUGUGCCGUAGCUAACGCAUUAAGCGCCCCGCCUGGGGAGUACGGCCGCAAGGCUAAAACUCAAAGGAAUUGACGGGG